UUUAUGGAGAGUUUGAUCCUGGCUCAGGAUGAACGCUGGCGGCGUGCCUAAUACAUGCAAGUCGAGCGAACAGAUAAGGAGCUUGCUCCUUUGACGUUAGCGGCGGACGGGUGAGUAACACGUGGGUAACCUACCUAUAAGACUGGGAUAACUUCGGGAAACCGGAGCUAAUACCGGAUAAUAUUUCGAACCGCAUGGUUCGAUAGUGAAAGAUGGUUUUGCUAUCACUUAUAGAUGGACCCGCGCCGUAUUAGCUAGUUGGUAAGGUAACGGCUUACCAAGGCAACGAUACGUAGCCGACCUGAGAGGGUGAUCGGCCACACUGGAACUGAGACACGGUCCAGACUCCUACGGGAGGCAGCAGUAGGGAAUCUUCCGCAAUGGGCGAAAGCCUGACGGAGCAACGCCGCGUGAGUGAUGAAGGUCUUCGGAUCGUAAAACUCUGUUAUUAGGGAAGAACAUACGUGUAAGUAACUAUGCACGUCUUGACGGUACCUAAUCAGAAAGCCACGGCUAACUACGUGCCAGCAGCCGCGGUAAUACGUAGGUGGCAAGCGUUAUCCGGAAUUAUUGGGCGUAAAGCGCGCGUAGGCGGUUUUUUAAGUCUGAUGUGAAAGCCCACGGCUCAACCGUGGAGGGUCAUUGGAAACUGGAAAACUUGAGUGCAGAAGAGGAAAGUGGAAUUCCAUGUGUAGCGGUGAAAUGCGCAGAGAUAUGGAGGAACACCAGUGGCGAAGGCGACUUUCUGGUCUGUAACUGACGCUGAUGUGCGAAAGCGUGGGGAUCAAACAGGAUUAGAUACCCUGGUAGUCCACGCCGUAAACGAUGAGUGCUAAGUGUUAGGGGGUUUCCGCCCCUUAGUGCUGCAGCUAACGCAUUAAGCACUCCGCCUGGGGAGUACGACCGCAAGGUUGAAACUCAAAGGAAUUGACGGGGACCCGCACAAGCGGUGGAGCAUGUGGUUUAAUUCGAAGCAACGCGAAGAACCUUACCAAAUCUUGACAUCCUUUGACCGCUCUAGAGAUAGAGUUUUCCCCUUCGGGGGACAAAGUGACAGGUGGUGCAUGGUUGUCGUCAGCUCGUGUCGUGAGAUGUUGGGUUAAGUCCCGCAACGAGCGCAACCCUUAAACUUAGUUGCCAGCAUUUAGUUGGGCACUCUAAGUUGACUGCCGGUGACAAACCGGAGGAAGGUGGGGAUGACGUCAAAUCAUCAUGCCCCUUAUGAUUUGGGCUACACACGUGCUACAAUGGACAAUACAAAGGGCAGCGAAACCGCGAGGUCAAGCAAAUCCCAUAAAGUUGUUCUCAGUUCGGAUUGUAGUCUGCAACUCGACUACAUGAAGCUGGAAUCGCUAGUAAUCGUAGAUCAGCAUGCUACGGUGAAUACGUUCCCGGGUCUUGUACACACCGCCCGUCACACCACGAGAGUUUGUAACACCCGAAGCCGGUGGAGUAACCAUUUUGGAGCUAGCCGUCGAAGGUGGGACAAAUGAUUGGGGUGAAGUCGUAACAAGGUAGCCGUAUCGGAAGGUGCGGCUGGAUCACCUCCUUUCU
This 1554-nucleotide ribosomal RNA is filed under the name Staphylococcus devriesei. RNAcentral describes it as "bacterial SSU rRNA". It matches the Rfam family "Bacterial small subunit ribosomal RNA". Lineage: Bacteria; Bacillati; Bacillota; Bacilli; Caryophanales; Staphylococcaceae. The record is from RNAcentral.